UAGUACGCGAGUGAAGCGGGAUGAGCUCAAGCUUAAAAUCUCUGUCACAAAUUUAUUUUGUGCGGCGAAUUGUAGUCUAUAGAGGCGUGAUCAGUGUAGGCGCUUGAGGUAAGUUCCUUGAAAAAGGACAGCAUGGAGGGUGAAACUCCCGUUCAUACUUAAGUGGCUUGCACGUACGAUUCGUUUUCUUUGAGUCGCGUUGUUUGAGAAUGCAGCGCAAAGUAGGUGGUAAAUUCCAUCUAAAGCUAAAUAUUGGUGCGAGACCGAUAGCGAACAAGUACCGUGAGGGAAAGAUGAAAAGAACUCUGAAAAGAGAGUUAAAGAGUACCUGAAACUGCUGAAAGGGAACCAAAUCGUUUCUAGUGUCUAUAAUCUAUGACAUAUUUCAUUGGGAAGUGUGUGCGUGUGUAUACUAUGGCAGCGGCUUUUUUUAGUUGCGCUUGGUGUGCGUGCUGUAUGUACUAACUGAUGCCCUGUGUUAUAGUGGGACGUCAAGGUCAGUUUGUAUACUGCGGGAAAUGGCUACUGAGGAGGUAGGGCUUACGCUUGCGUUUGUCUAUUAUAUCUUGGUAGUUGUGUCGUGGUUGAGACUGAGGUGUUCUACAACGUGCUUAUGAGUGGGUCUACGUCUCCGUGUGCGCCGUGUGCAGAUAGCUUGCUAUGUGUAUGUGGUGGUGUGUGGAUUGAUAUGGGCUUUAUCUUACUGCCGKUC
Molecule: ribosomal RNA, 712 nt
Filed under: Hyaloperonospora dentariae
Lineage: Eukaryota; Oomycota; Peronosporomycetes; Peronosporales; Peronosporaceae
Description: LSU rRNA
Rfam family: Eukaryotic large subunit ribosomal RNA
Source: RNAcentral